This 253-nucleotide ribosomal RNA is filed under the name uncultured bacterium. RNAcentral's name for it is "partial 16S ribosomal RNA". It matches the Rfam family "Bacterial small subunit ribosomal RNA", at positions 524 to 776 of the family's 1533-position model. The record is from RNAcentral.
CACGUAGGGCGCAAGCGUUGUCCGGAAUUAUUGGGCGUAAAGGGCUCGUAGGCGGUUUGUCGCGUCGGGAGUGAAAACUCAGGGCUUGACCCUGAGCCUGCUUCCGAUACGGGCAGACUAGAGGUAUGCAGGGGAGAACGGAAUUCCUGGUGUAGCGGUGAAAUGCGCAGAUAUCAGGAGGAACACCGGUGGCGAAGGCGGUUCUCUGGGCAUUACCUGACGCUGAGGAGCGAAAGUGUGGGGAGCGAACAGG